Molecule: non-coding RNA, 5426 nt
Organism: Callithrix jacchus (white-tufted-ear marmoset)
Lineage: Eukaryota; Metazoa; Chordata; Mammalia; Primates; Cebidae
Source: RefSeq, a predicted model, not a curated record
UGGUGCUGCAGCUUCUUUGCAUUUCCGUUUUUGCUUUUUUGUGUGUCCAGUGUGAAAGGAAAAUAAAAACUUGGGACCGUAAUCCACUGUGCUAAAAGGAAAAAGCUGAGAAUGGAGUCAGGCAAGAAGCUGUGUUUCCUUAUGUUCCUCAGCAGACAGCUACAGAGAAAGGGCCAGACAGGCCAGGCACGGUGGCUCACGCCGGUAAUCCCAGCACUUUGAGAGGCCUAAGCGGAAGCAUCACUUGAGCCCAGAAGUUCAAGACCAGCCUGGGCAACAUGGUGAAACCCUGUCUCUACAAAGAAAAUACAAAAAUUAGCCAGGUGUGAUGGCGCACACCUGUGGUCCGAGCUACUUGGGAAGCUGAGGCCUGCAGUGAGCCAAGAUCAAGAUCACACCACUGCACUCCAUCCUGGCCCACUUUUCCCCUUUAAAGACUGAAGCCCUCAAAAUCAUCUUUGGAGAAAGGCACAGACCUCUCGGGUGUGCCCUCAACCUCAGCAAAACACAAUUCUAAGUUGACGGAGAUCUGUCUCAGGUACGUUUGGUUUGCACUCUAGCAUGUAUGCAGAUGGACUCUUUCAUGUUUACAACCAGCUCUUAGGAUAAUGGUCCAAUUAUGAUCUCCAUUUACAUCUAAAGAUACCGAAGUGCCCGACUGAGUAACUCACCCAAGGGUACGUAGCCAGGGCUGACAGAGCAGGACUCCCUCAAGUACCCAGACAAUACAUAACUGGGUUUUGAGAUGGAGUCUUGCUCUGUUGCCCAGGCUGGAGUGCAGUGGCACAACCUCAGAUCACUACAACCUCUGCCUCCUGGGUUCAAGCGAUUCUCCUGCCUCAGCCUCCCAAGUAGCUGGGAUUAUAGGUGCCCACCAUUGUGCCUGGGUAAAUUUUUUUCUUUUUUUGAGACAGAGUUUCAUUCUUGUUGCCCAGGCUGGAGUGCAAUGGCACAAUCUUGGCUCACUGAAACCUCUACCUCCCAGGUUCAAGCGAUUCUCCUGCCUCAGCCUCCCGAGUAGCUGGGGUUAUAGGCAACUGCCAUUAAUUAUGUCUGGCUAGUUUUUGUAUUUUUAGUAGAGACGGGGGUUUCACCAUGUUGGCCAGGUUGGUCUCAAACUCCUGACCUCAGGUGAUCCACCCACCUUGGCCUCUCAAAGUGCUGGAAUUACAGACAUAAGCCACCGCGCCCAGCAACAGUACAUAAUUUACAAUUAGUGCGAUUGUGUGAGAUGGAGGUUUCAGUGUUAAAUGGACUAUGUAGUCAGUGCCCAAGGUGAAUCUAGGCUCCAGCACCCACCAGGUAUGAGACUGCAAGUACCUAAUGCCCCACUGUGCCUCAGUUUCUUCAUCUAUAAAAUGGGGCAGCUAUAGCUUCUCACAGGGUGGCUAGUUAACGCUCAGAGUGCUUAGAAUGCAUGGCAGCCAGUGGGCCCUCAGUAUCAGCCCUUAGGAUGAUUAGCACAGACAAUGCCAACACCAACCAAACGUUAGGGGGCAGCGUCAGUACCAGCUUGACAGUUAAGGCAACUGUGCCUGAAAAUGAAAUUAAACACACAGUGACGUGAGGCUAGCAGCGGGCUCUGAAACAGCAGCUCAUUUCCCAAUCUGUGUUCACAACAGUGCUCAGCUUGUGACGCCAUCUGACUGGCUGCUUUUCAGAGGAACCAGGGGCAGGAGCUUCCUUUCCAUUCCUGGACUGCUGGUAGAUGCAGGCCUCCUGGGCACUGCCAUAGCCACUCAUGGCAUGUGUACCAAACCUGCCAGGGUGGUCUCUGUAGUGGCAGUGGCAGCAGCAGCAGUCACAUGGGCAAAGGCCAGAGCACUUUAAGUGAAACAGGCAGAGAGGCCUUUACACUCCACCCCAGGGUUGUUCUAAAAACACCCAGGGUUGUUCAUCACACCCCGUGGAGUUUGUGAUGUCAGAUUUCCUCUUCUGAGAUGGGAGGAUAGCUUGAGUUCCAGGAGAUGGAGGCUGCAGUGAGUCAAGAUCACACCACCGCACUCCUUCAAAUUAGUGGGUAAGGGCUUUAAAAAUGGUAUUGGGAGCUGGGUGCGGUGGUGUAAUCCCAGCACUUUGGGAGGCCAAGGUGGGUGGAUCACCUGAGGUUGGGAGUUCCAAGACCAGCCUGACCAACAUGGAGAAACCCCAUCUCUACUAAAAAUACAAAAUUUAGCCAGGCGUGGUGGCACAUGCCUGUAAUCCCAGCUACUCUGGAGGCUGAGGCAGGAGAAUCACUUGAACCUAAGAGGCAGAGGUUAGGAUAAGCUGAGAUCAUGCCACUGCACUCCGGUCUGGGCAACGAGAGUGAAAUUCCAUCUCAAAAACAAAAGGUAUUAUUGGGUGGUGGGCCAACUAUGGCCUGUGCUAUUGCCAGCUGCAAUGGCUCAGUCCUAUAAUCCCAGUGCUCUGGGAAGCUGAGGUGAGAAGGAUGGAUUGAGGCCAAGUAUUUGAGAACAGAUGGGCAACACAGGCAGACUCUGAUCCUACACAAGGUUUAAAAAUCAACUGGGCAUGGUGGCCUGUGCUUCUAGUCUCAGCUCUUAGGGAAGUUUGAGAUCACAGGGAUCAUGCCACUGCACUCCAGCCUGGGGGACAGAGGGAGACUGUCUCCAAAAAAGCGCCAUGCUCAGGUUUCAAAAUUUUCUUGCACGAAAAUAAACUUGUACUAACUUGUUAUAACAUGUCUGGACAAGAUCUAGUCUGAGGCAGUUAAGGGCAUGACAGUGUUUAAAAAGAGCACCUAUCAGAGCGACAUGAAUUCUGCUAAAAAUGGAAGCAAGAACAGACAUCAAAGUUACGGUGACACUGGGGUGGAAGAAUGGUGAAAAUCAAUUUCUUACCAAAAAACCUAUGGGGACAAUGCCCCCACCCCCGACCAAAAUCAGAGGUUUGCCAAUGGGUAACUUGUGUUAAGAAGGACGAGACAAUGGUGAAGAUGAGACCUCCCCAUCAAUCUGGGAGGUAAAAAUUAAUCUGAUUCAUACCUGAAUCAAAGAGGACCAAUGAUUAACAGCAGAAACAGCCAACACCAUAGACACCUCAGGUGAUUCCGCUUACAUUAUCUGACUGAAAAAUGAACAAUGAGCAAACGUGUCACUCAAUGGCUGCCAAACCAUUGCACCCAGGUCAGCUGGAGACAGGAGCGGAGCUUUCAAGGGAAAUUUUAAACAAGAGAAGUAAAGAUCCUAAAGCAUUUCCUCUGAGAACUGUAACAGGAGAUGGAACACGGCUUUACCAGCACAAUCCUGAGACAAAGCACACUCACAGCACUGGCUCCUGAGAGGUGGGAGGGGUGCUGUCACAGCAAUGCAGACGGGUCCAAAGCAGAGGUCGGACAGCAGUUUUCUGGGAUGCUCAAGGCACCGUGUGUGUGUUGACUUUCUAGGUGACCAAAGAAUGGUAACACCUGCUUAUUCUAAGUGCUUUGUGAAAGUCAGCCAAAGCUAGCAGCGCAAUGCCUGGGGAAGUUUCCCAGAGUCCUUUUCCAUCAUGGCAGCGCUCCUGCUCCAUCAGAGGGCAACUUUCCAGGAGUUUCGAUGGCAAGUCACGAGGCAUCCACCUUACAGUCCUGAUUUGGUUCCUGCUGACUUUUUGUUUCCUAAUCUUAAAAAUCUGCCGAGGGCACCCAUUUUUCCUCAUUAACAAUGUGGAGACUACAUGGACAUGGAUGCAUUUCCAGGACCCUCGGUUCUUUGAGGAUAGACUAAAUGGUUGGUAGUAUGGUAUUAUGGCUUACUGAAGUAUCUUGAACUUGAUGGAACUUAUGUUGAGAAACAAAGUUUAUAUUUUUUGAUUUUUAAUUCCAUUUUCCAUGAACUUUUAAAGGUCCCCUCAUAUAUGUUUACAGAUGUCCACAGAAACGUUAUUCAGAUGCUGAAUAAACAACCAAAAAUAAUUGUUUUAUCAAUGAGGAACCUGUUAAAUCUACAUAAUACAGCUGUAAAAAUAAUUAUGUAGUUCUAUAGUUACUGCUAUGAAAAGACACCUGAGUAGAAACCUAUUUCUGAUGUUACAGAAGAACAAGUAGAGUGCACUCUAAUGUCAACUUCUCUAUGUAUGCAUUCAUAUAUGCCGUACAUUCAGAUGCCUGGAAAGGGCUGUGCACAAAUGUUAGCAGUCAAUGUCUCAGUGACAUAAGUACAGGAGUUUUCCUUUUCCCUUAUACUUCUUUAAAAACACACAGAUUUUUUUCCCCCACAAUGAAUAUCAAUCAUAUUAACAUAUAUAAAGAUUUAAUUUUUUCCCCAGAAGGAAACAAAACGAUUGAGCUUUGUCCACCAUCUAUGGACAAAAAUGCUAUGUGUUCUGCAGACUCAGGUGGUGGCGCCAUGUGUGCUGGGGAGAUGGGGAGGCCCCACCCACUUUUUUCAUUACCGUAGCUGCACGUUUUCAGCAGUGCCUGCAGGGGGAGCUAACGGACCUCCAUGUGGAACAAAUGAAACGUAGUAACCCGGGCACUUGCUCCUCCACUGAUGCGCAUGAGAAAAAGGAAGCCCGAGUUCUUUACAAAGGAAUCUUUGCUAUGAGAAAUAAAAACAACAAACUCUUUUUUAAAAUUUUUAUUCGGUGUUAACUCCACAAGAAAACAAAAAAAAAAAAUCAGUUACUCUGGUGUACGUGAAAUCAGAACAAUACAACCACGGGGAAAAAAUCUCAGCCCAGGAAUGGAAGCUGAUGCUUCAGUGCUAUGGAUAUGCAACGCGCUUCAUACCACAGUGCGUUUCAGCGUUUGCCAACUUUUUAAAGAUGCUUUUUCUUUGUGAUCAUCCAUUCACAAAACUAAAAAAAAAAAACCACACUUUCAUCUUUGUUGCUGAAAGCUUCUGAGCUUCAGCUACUUAACUAUGAAAACAAAUAAAUACACAAUUUGUGAAUCCCUUUGCUCACUUCGAAUCCAUCCCAUUCCCCUGUGGAAGGUGCUGUGUCUCCUCACCCGUGUCUGAGGAGGUCUGCACCUGUGCCACCUGGAGCCCUUUCCUAAUCAACAGCAGCUGUCCAAAAUCAACUGUGCUCAAGGUGGUGUCUGAAAUCUAUUUUUUGGUCUUUGCUACAUAAGCAACGAUUUCUAGAAUAAUCCUCACUGUAGUGAUGUGAGGAAUUUGCAACUUUCAAUCCUUUUUUACCUUUGCUGUUAAAUUUCAGUGCUGAUGCUUAUCAAUUUUUAGGAAGCUCCAGAAGAAUGAAAAAUACAUAAAAACGUAUCUGAAGUUCGUAAAUAAAUAACAGCAACAUAAAACCUUACACAUGCACACACACACACACACACACACACACACAAUCCCACCUUAAAGUGUCAAAAGCUUUGUAUAAAAAUAAACCCUAAUGUGGUAAGAUCAACCUGGCGGGCACCCCAGGUCUCUCUCAGUGAGGACCCACAGAACCUCAGCCACUCCACAGUCUUUGAUGAUACGUUCUGUGUUAUU